AUGCAGAUCCUGAUGUUGACUUACACUUCUCCAGACUCCCAACAUACUGGGCCGAAAUUGAUGAUAGGACAGAGUUAGCAAGAAGAAUUCGGUUGUAGCUGAACUGGCAGUCCCCCUCAUCCAUGCUCUCAUACAUGAGAUUGAGGACGGAUUUCAUUGUUCGCCAGUCCUGGCUGGAUUUAGGGUAUUUGAACUAAAAGAGGUUCCAAAUACUGUUGCCGAAUUAACAACGUUUGGAGAGGAGGAAAUGAGACGUUUAGCAUCACAUUAUGGCAACACACUUGAAGAUGUAUUCAAGGGACAUAGGACUGUCUCCCAGCCUGUCUUUUCUGAGGAAACAUUCAAGCAACAGUUUGCUGGGUUUAAACACCAGAUGUUUUUAAUGAGGUAUCCUUAUGUUUGUUUUAUGGAGUUUGUUGUUAAAUUAAUCCAGUUUGUUUUAUUCUUACUUACCAACUUCUUGUUAUAUUUUCAUGUUGAUGUUAGUUUUGUAUUUUUUAUUUAGAAAUAAAAUUGUUUCAAUGUUAUCUUUUUAUGAAUUGAUAUUGUUUAUUUUAAUUUUGAAUUUCAGUGCUAAUGAACUAGAUCUCAGAAUGAGAUUAUCAUAUAAAUCAGUCUAAAGUACCAGGACAGUAAGUGUUUUACAAUUAUUUGUAAAAGUUUGCACUGAAAUGGCAGCUCUUCUGGAUUCAAUAUUCAGACAAAGAGCUUCUGAGGAAGAGUUAGCAGACCCACAAUUUUUACUUAAACAGUUCCAGGAUGAUGUUUUGCGUGCCUCUUAUCCUGCCAUGUACCACCUGGUUUUGUUGUCUUGCCUAAUUCCAAGUUCCACAGCAUGUGUGGAAAGGCUGUUUUCUCUUAUGAACACGAUUUGCACACCCCUCAGGAGCUGUCUUAAACAACAGAGUCUGGACAACAUUAUAAGAAUUGUGUCAGAGUCCAGUGGUUCCUUGACUCCAAGGCAGCUGACCAGAGC
Molecule: RNA transcript, 976 nt
Organism: Saccostrea cuccullata (small rock oyster)
Lineage: Eukaryota; Metazoa; Mollusca; Bivalvia; Ostreida; Ostreidae
Exons: 4
Source: RefSeq, a predicted model, not a curated record